AGAGUUUGAUCAUGGCUCAGGAUGAACGCUAGCUACAGGCUUAACACAUGCAAGUCGAGGGGAAACGACAUCGAAAGCUUGCUUUUGAUGGGCGUCGACCGGCGCACGGGUGAGUAACGCGUAUCCAACCUGCCCACCACUUGGGGAUAACCUUGCGAAAGUAAGACUAAUACCCAAUGAUAUCUCUAGAAGACAUCUGAAAGAGAUUAAAGAUUUAUCGGUGAUGGAUGGGGAUGCGUCUGAUUAGCUUGUUGGCGGGUAACGCCACAAGGCGACGAUCAGUAGGGUUCUGAGAGGAAGGUCCCCCANAUUGGAACUGAGACACGGUCCAAACUCCUACGGGAGCA
This 347-nucleotide ribosomal RNA is filed under the name uncultured bacterium. Its description in RNAcentral is "bacterial SSU rRNA". It matches the Rfam family "Bacterial small subunit ribosomal RNA", at positions 8 to 349 of the family's 1533-position model. The record is from RNAcentral.